CAUACUACUCUACAUGAUUGCCUUGAGAGGUCAACCCAUGCAGCAGCAUGGAAAGCUAAGCCAUUAAGCACUACUCCUAGCUAGGUUUACAUGGCUACAUUCGGGCGCCCUGCAGAUUAUUUAAUGGAUGCGUUUACUUCCUCCUGUUCCUGGGAACUGUUUGCCUUGAUGGGUUGAUGUUGCUACUUACUAGUACUGCUUUUCUAGACGCGAUUGUGAUGAUAAUCUUUUGCUGUUGCUGGCGAGGAAAUGGCACACACGUUCUUCUUUCGACCUGGCGUUCGUUUCAUUGGAUUUCACGAUCGAGAUAUACGUACUGCCCCCAUAUAUAUACGAAACCCGAAUCUCGAAACGCCUCCCGGAGAUGGCGCGCGCGCAAGACAAACGGGCAGGGGGG
RNAcentral lists this long non-coding RNA (397 nucleotides) under Hordeum vulgare. RNAcentral describes it as "long non-coding RNA (HVUL_LNC021204)". The record is from RNAcentral. Lineage: Eukaryota; Viridiplantae; Streptophyta; Magnoliopsida; Poales; Poaceae.